RNAcentral lists this small RNA (123 nucleotides) under Pseudoselenomonas ruminantium. RNAcentral describes it as "Selenomonas ruminantium STnc490 Hfq binding RNA". Lineage: Bacteria; Bacillati; Bacillota; Negativicutes; Selenomonadales; Selenomonadaceae. The record is from Rfam by way of RNAcentral.
AACCCCUGGUUAGACCAGGGGUUCCGUAAAGCUUUAGCGAUGAGUCUUUAAAGGAAAAGAAAAACCUCCCUAGAAAAUAAUUGUUGCGGUCCGUCAACUGCAAAAUUAUGAAUAGGGAUGUUU